GGCAGGUUAGCUCAGUUGGUUAGAGAGUGGUGCUGAUAACACCAAGGUCACAGGUUCAAUUCCCGUUCGGUCC
Molecule: transfer RNA, 73 nt
Filed under: Apaloderma vittatum (bar-tailed trogon)
Lineage: Eukaryota; Metazoa; Chordata; Aves; Trogoniformes; Trogonidae
Rfam family: tRNA
About the family: Transfer RNA (tRNA) molecules are approximately 80 nucleotides in length. Their secondary structure includes four short double-helical elements and three loops (D, anti-codon, and T loops).
Source: Rfam by way of RNAcentral